UACGUAGGGUGCAAGCGUUGUCCGGAAUUAUUGGGCGUAAAGAGCUCGUAGGCGGUUUGUUGCGUCGGCUGUGAAAUCCCGAGGCUCAACCUCGGGUCUGCAGUCGAUACGAGCAAACUAGAGUGUUGCAGGGGAGACUGGAAUUCCUGGUGUAGCGGUGAAAUGCGUAGAUAUCUGGAGGAACACCGGUGGCGAAGGCGGCAUCCUGGACCGGCAUUGACGCUGAGGCGCGAAAGCUAGGGGAGCAAACGGG
RNAcentral lists this ribosomal RNA (253 nucleotides) under uncultured bacterium. RNAcentral describes it as "partial 16S ribosomal RNA". It matches the Rfam family "Bacterial small subunit ribosomal RNA", at positions 524 to 776 of the family's 1533-position model. The record is from RNAcentral.